UAUUGAGUUGAGAUGGAGUGCUAAGUGAAGAAAUAUCCUAGGACACGAGUGUAAAUGACUUCAGAGCCAAGAAAUUUCUGAAGUCUGUUUUCUUCUCUCUCUCUCUUUAAAGUUAUUCUGGGCAGCACAUUGACUUUUGUGUGCAGAGCUCAGAAUGUAUAGGCAGAAACAAACUUUGGUCCAAGCUCAUUCAUUUGGUAUAAGAUUGAGAUACCACGACUAACAUUUUACUGCGACAUUGUUGUUACUUUAGUUGUGGUGCCGCCAUCAUUGUUAUAUACUGUGUAUCCACAACAGCACUGUCACUGUGGUUUGAGAGUAAUAGUACUACUGUUAAAUAUUGUGCAGCCGAGUUUGUGGUGACAGAAGUUAGAGAACAACACCCUUUCUUUCAUUUUACAGGCGACCUGCGCUUAAUUUUAAAAGAUAUCGUCUCUUGAGCCGACUAGCUCUUUCUCGACAAAGAAGUCCGGCACCUGAAACUGACUAUGAAACCACCAUUCCCGAGCCACUAGAGGUUUCACUAAAUGCUUAGGACUUCUUUCUCUUGGGAGAAACUUGUGGGUCAGAAGUGGACAAGGAAGUGACAGGUGACAGGGAUGACUGCUCAAAUAGUAGCAGCCCAUGUAUGGCUGAAGGCAUAGACUGUUUUUUGGAUGAUGAGGACACUGUUGCUACCAGGACCAUCGGACUGCAAACAGAAGAACGUGACACUGAAGCAACCACCUUUUCAUCAUUCUUAUGUUACAUGACUCGGGACGGGGUGGCAACCGAAGUUGCUCACAAAGCAGCCGACUCGGCACUCACGGAAACUCCAAGUAGUUCAAGAGAAGUACCCAAGAAGUGGCACAUAUCUUACAUUGUUUACUGAAAUCAAAAGAUGCACAACAGAUGUUACUUCAUAUGUACAAAUGUAAAUUAUAUCGACAAUGUACAGCUGAAGUUUCGGUAAGCUUCCUUUUAAGACUGAUGCCAUUCAUAUCGAAUCAAGCUACGCCAGAUGUACAGCUUGCCCAAAAUAUAAAAGUACUAAAACAGCAGACAGUCUGUUAUUCCGUGCAAUGUUUCGGGCUCUGCGUUUUAUGUGGAAGCCUGUAUAGCUGGAAUCGAACUGUCAUGCAUUACAACUGCUACAGCUGCUGUGUGAGCUUUGUGCUGUUAUCUCAUUACAGAAUUGCACUGUAA
This 1185-nucleotide long non-coding RNA is filed under the name Dermacentor andersoni. RNAcentral's name for it is "uncharacterized LOC126546723". The record is from RNAcentral. Lineage: Eukaryota; Metazoa; Arthropoda; Arachnida; Ixodida; Ixodidae.